Coturnix japonica (Japanese quail) is the source of this 4859-nucleotide RNA transcript. It is a transcript of the gene named calpain 13, with no coding region annotated. NCBI's taxonomy places the organism in Eukaryota, Metazoa, Chordata, Aves, Galliformes, Phasianidae. The record is from RefSeq and is a predicted model, not a curated record.
AAUGGAGAUGGGAACUGAAGACAUAUGUCUGAAGUGUUGCAGAAGACAGCAGCCAAACCUUCAGCACGUAAGCUGUGUGGGUGGUGUGAGGAGAGCUGCUUUCCUUAAUGCUUCAAGGAUUCCUUGGGCAAAGUUAUUCUGUUCUUUUAUUUUUUUCUUCUUCUUUUUGACAGAAAACAGCGAUUCAGAGAGGCAGCAAAUAACAUUUUGUUAAGUGCACCCUCGUUAAGUUUGCAGAUGGCACCAAGUUGGGAGGAAGCAUUGAUCUGCCUGCGGGUAGGGAGGCCCUACAGAGGGAUGUAUGUAGGCCGGAUCACUGGGCUGAGGGCAAUUGUAUGAGCUUCUAUAAGGACAUGGGCUGGGUGCUUUGGUCACAACAACUCCGUGCAUUGGUACCGGGUUGGAGCAGAGUAGCUGGAAAGCUACAUGGAGGAAAAGGAUCUAGGGGUGUUAGCUGACAGCUGGCUGAACAUGAGCCAGCAGUGUGUCCAGGUGAGCAAGAGGGCCAAUGGCAUUUUGGGUUGUAUCAGAAAUAGAGCAGCCUGUGUAUGUGUGUUGAGCAGCCCUGGGGUGGUAACUGUCCAUGCAAAAGCACUUUUGAGUUUCCAGUUUCUCUCAGCAUCUUCUGCUCAUGAAUGGAUUAAGCUGCACAGCCACCCUGAGGUGGAUUAGCAUCCUGCUCUGCAAGAGCAAACCUUAAGUCAGGGCAAUGUUGCAUCUGCCAGAAUCAAACAGGGUAGCACUGGCAAACACCCCUCCUCUCCCAACACCCAGCCCUGUGUUUUUCAGUCAACAAGCCUCUAUUUUCUUGCAGGAUUACACAAACACUCAGGAGGAAAACAACUAAUCUAAAGGCUUAUUGCCAUGCAGAAAUCUCUGUGCCUUCUGGAUUUCUUCCUUUGGAGCCACGGUGAGAAUGGACACAUCAAUACAGCCUUCUGCAGGAAAGCUGACACUUUCAAAUCGGAGCCGUGCUGCAAUAACUGAAACCCCCUGCCAGCUUAGUGACGGUGCUUUCUAAUCAACUUUGCAAUGAAUAUUUCUUAAAUCAUGUUAAUCCACCAUUUAAGCAGGGGUAGCAGUUCCAGACAAUAAAACAUUGUACCUGGAGGGGAACAUACCUGCCGCUUCCCGAGAGAGGAGGCAAUUAGCAGUGCAAGUGAUGUCAGAUGAGCUAACAACACCAGCAUUUAUCAUCCUGAGCUCGUUUCCUGCAAGGAAGGGAAUCUUCACACUCUGCUUCUGUUGCAAUCAGCUUUUAUUUAUGUUGUGGUUGUGGAAAGCAGCUCUUAAAGGAGAAGUGAAGCUGCACUCUCUGGAGCACUUUUACUCUGAUCUACACAGAUGCAUUUCCUUCUGGAGUAUGCUGAAUGCUGAGUUCUAAUGUGGAAACAAGAGUCCUAAAAUGAGAGUAAGCAGGAUGCAGUGCCCAGCUUUGAAAAUGCAAGCCUGGAGACCCACAGACCUCAGUGAAACAUUGAUGAAGAAGCCAAACUGCCUUUUUCAUGAGCAUUUUCAUCUUCUCAUCUUCCCAAGCUCCUGUGGACCAGCUGCUAAGGAAAGGGGCACAAUGCUCAACCUCAGCUCAGCUCUGAGGUUGGAGCAAGGCAUGCAAACAGCAGGGAUAUCAGGAGGCCUCCAGAACCUGAGGAAAUUUAAUAAUCAGGACUUUGAGCACCUGCGAUCCCUGUGUCUGAGCCAAGGCCUGUUGUUUGAGGAUGACACCUUCCCUGCUCACUCCAGCUCCAUUGGUCACAACUUGCUCCCAAAGGAUGAGCUGCGGCAAAUAGAGUGGAAGAGGCCAACGGAGCUUAUGAGAAAACCCUAUUUGAUACUGGAUGGAGUUAGCAGAUUUGAUAUUAUUCAAGGAGAAAUAGGUGACUGCUGGAUGUUGGCUGCCCUGGGCUCCCUGACGAUGCAGAAACGAUUUUUGGAGAAUGUUUUACCAAAGGACCAAGGAUUCCAGAGUGAUUAUGCUGGGAUUUUCCAUUUUCGGUUCUGGCAAUUUGGAGAGUGGGUGGAUGUAGUGAUAGAUGACCGGCUACCUUUCCUAAAUGGGAAUUACCUGUCUGUACACCCUCGAACAUCAAAUGAAUUCUGGCCAUCCUUGCUGGAAAAAGCAUAUGCCAAGCUGCUUGGCUCCUACCAGAACUUGCACGGGGGCUACAUUUCCGAUGCUUUAGUAGACUUCACAGGUGGAGUCCAAAUGCAGUUUUCAUUAAAGGACCCCCCUCCUGAUCUGGAGGACAUACUGAAAGCUGCUAGCAAAUCUGGAUGUCUGAUGGGAUGUAGCACCUCGGGCCGGAUGAGAAACACAGUAUUAAGGAAUGGGAUUGUACAAGGUCAUGCGUACACUGUCACAGGAGCUGUGAAGAUACAAUUCAAGAACCACUGGGAACAUAUAAUCAGAGUCUGGAAUCCAUGGGGCCAUGGGGAGUGGAAGGGGCCCUGGAGUGAUGGCUCUCCAGAAUGGGACUAUGUUGAGCCUGAAAUUAAGGAAGAGCUCUACAGAAAGAAAAAUGAUGGAGAAUUCUGGAUGUCCUGUGAAAGCUUUCGGGAGCAAUUUUCCUGGCUGUAUGUAUGUAACUGCACUCCAACUUUUCUCGACUUCAGAGAUCAGCCCCGCACAGGAUGGUCUGUGGACAGACACAUCAACCUGCUCGCUACUGGAAGGAACUACUGGUCCUCUGCAGGUGCAGGGUCAAAGAACCCUCAAUAUUUCUUCAAAGUGACAAAUCAUGACCCCAAAUCCUACAACGUGGUCAUUUCACUCAUACAAAAAAAUGCGGAGGGUACGCAGGAUGCACAGAAAUUGAAGAUUGGCUUUUUAAUCACCACGGAGAACUCCAGAGUUCUGAAACAAGAUUUCUCCCUUGUGCGAGACGUGAGCAGCUGCUUUAGUUUGAGCCCAGGAACUUAUGCUGUCAUUCCUGCUACAACAGAGGGCCGAGAAUUUGAGUUUGUCUUACGAAUUUUCAUAAAGAAUCAAGACUACAAUGAGAACUCAGACACUCAGCUCAACCCAAUGCUGCUGAUGGAUGUACCAAGACAGAUACAGGACAGCUCCUAUAAGGCGAUCUUCCUAAAGUAUGCGAAGCAGGGUUCAGCUAUUGAUGCUUUGCAGUUGCAACAACUUCUUAAUGACGUGGUCCUGCAAGAUGAAAUGGCCAGCCUGGGAGGAGAGUUCAGCUUUGAUUCAUGUCGAGCCAUUUUAGCUCUGAUGGAUCUCAAUUCAAAUGGACAACUCACGCUGCAGGAGUUUGGGAGCCUCUGGCGAAGUGUCACCAAGUACAUGGAUCUCUUCAGGAGGGAAGACAAAAACCAUUCUGGAUUUCUUGAUGUAUCUGAACUGAAGAGUGCAAUACAGGCAGCAGGCCUGCCCGUCAAUGAGCAGAUCCUGCGCCUGAUGACCCUGCGCUACGGCGACGUGUACAGGAGAAUGGGCUUUGCUGACUUUGUGAGCUGCAUGCUGCGCCUCGAAACCAUGACCUAUGCAUUUCAAAACUUAGCCAAAGAUGGACCGCAAGUUUUGAUGACGAUGAUGGAGUGGCUGACUCUUGUCAUGUACAUCUGAAGAGUUGUCAGAGCUCAAUGCACUGGUGAGAAAUCUCCUUAGUACUGUACACACUGAGAAGAAAGGGACUUGCCUCGGACAGCACACCGUCCCUUUGUCAACAAAGCUGUAUUUUGGUGCAUUCAUGCUGGGUAGAAACAGGUUAUUAACAACACAGAACCCACCCCUUGCACCACACGGUGCUAUUAGGUGGCUUUUCUCCUCUUCGGUACGAGGCACGUCCAGGUCAUCCCAUUCAACAUCCAUCCACCGGGCUCUAGAAGAAGCAAGCACUGGAAGCGUGAAGCUGUGUUUUCUUAUUUGCUUAUGUGUCACAGUACUUAAAACUGAAAGAUAACUGUAACUUAUGGGUAACCCCCACACAAACUUCACCUCCAUUCCUUUAGCACAAUGGUAAAAGUGAUCUGGUGUUCCAUUCUGCUCAUUACUGGGGCCAUCCUGGCAUUUUUCAGGCAGUGGGGAUAUCCCCUUUUGUAGCACCCUGAGGAAAUGUUAUAGAGCCUUCCCAGCUCCCUUCCCCAUAGGACAAACUGUGCCACGUGAGGCUGAUGCUCAUUAAACAAGGAACAUAGCCGUUCACUUUAGGAAAUAGCAUUUCCUUGUUUUAUACGUCAUAUAUUAGAUUCAGUGCUAUUCAGCACCAAAUGCCAAGCUGCUGCAGAAACACCUCUGAAUUGAAGCCGGUUGUGUGAGAAGAAAGAUCACUGUGCAAAUAACAAUGUGUGUUUGAAAGGAAUGCAUUUUGGAAAGGAGAUGGGGGAUCUCUUUUAAUGUGCAUUUAAUAGAAGUGAGUGCUAAGGAAGGCAGACGUCAGCACUCAUCUCAGCUGCUCGGAGGUGGAAGCAUGACAUUGCGGACACUUCUUCAUAGAUGGCAGAUGUUUUCUAAAGCCCAAGUUCAGAGUAUGGGAUAGAGGAAUUCAAUUUCCAUUAAAUCACAACAGGAAAAAAAUCACUUCUGCUUUUCUGGUGCAAUUUCACUUGUUCCAGCUGGGAGGGGGGAUGUGCUGUUGGGCACUGAAUGGCUCAAGACAGUUUGUUGUCCAUGCAGGCACCCCAGGAUGUGCCCACAGUGCUGCUGGGCCAACAGUGGCCACAUUCCCAGUGACCAGUGUUAGAAACAUUCAAGAGUUGCUCAUAAAAGUAUAAUUUUCCAUAUGAAUAGACUGAGGUGGUGAUUUUGUGAGAGACGUGAAGCACAAACAUCUGGAUGUUUCAGUAUAAUAAUGUGUUUCUGCCAUACCACUAAUGAAGAAGAGCUGCCAUUAGGCACCUGUGGCUUUCAA